GAAAUGAUACCGGAUGGGGUGGUUGGGAUUCCGUUUACGGCCGAGUAGAACAUGUAGGUUCGAUCCUGUUUACUUUU
Molecule: transfer RNA, 77 nt
Filed under: Pontibacillus salipaludis
Lineage: Bacteria; Bacillati; Bacillota; Bacilli; Caryophanales; Bacillaceae
Description: tRNA-Val
Source: RNAcentral